GAUGAACGCUCGCGGGAGGCCUAACACAUGCAAGCCGAGCGGUAGAGUUUCUUCGGAAACUUGAGAGCGGCGCACGGGUGCGUAACACGUGUGCAACCUACCUUUAUCUGGGGGAUAGCCUUUCGAAAGGAAGAUUAAUACCCCAUAAUAUAAUGAUUGGCAUCAAUUAUUAUUGAAAACUCCGGUGGAUAGAGAUGGGCACGCGCAAGAUUAGAUAGUUGGUGAGGUAACGGCUCACCAAGUCAAUGAUCUUUAGGGGUCCUGAGAGGGAGAUCCCCCACACUGGUACUGAGACACGGACCAGACUCCUACGGGAGGCAGCAGUGAGGAAUAUUGGACAAUGGGUGAGAGCCUGAUCCAGCCAUCCCGCGUGAAGGAUGACGGUCCUAUGGAUUGUAAACUUCUUUUGUACAGGGAUAAACCUACCCUCGUGAGGGUAGCUGAAGGUACUGUACGAAUAAGCACCGGCUAACCCCGUG
Molecule: ribosomal RNA, 479 nt
Filed under: uncultured bacterium
Lineage: Bacteria
Description: partial 16S ribosomal RNA
Rfam family: Bacterial small subunit ribosomal RNA
Source: RNAcentral